GACAGAGGUGCCAAGCGUUAGGCGGAAUCACUGGGCUUAAAGCGUGUGUAGGCGGAAUUGUAAGUACCUUGUGAAAUCCCACGGCUCAACCGUGGAACUGCUCGGUAUACUGCUUUUCUUGAGCCACUUAGGGGCUACCGGAACAAAUGGUGGAGCGGUGAAAUGCGUAGAUAUCCGGAGGAACACCAGUGGCGAAGGCGACUUUCUGGCCUGUUCUUGACGCUGAGGCGCGAAAGCUAGGGGAGCAAACGGG
RNAcentral lists this ribosomal RNA (253 nucleotides) under uncultured bacterium. Its description in RNAcentral is "partial 16S ribosomal RNA". It matches the Rfam family "Bacterial small subunit ribosomal RNA", at positions 524 to 776 of the family's 1533-position model. The record is from RNAcentral.